Molecule: ribosomal RNA, 451 nt
Filed under: uncultured bacterium
Lineage: Bacteria
Description: bacterial SSU rRNA
Rfam family: Bacterial small subunit ribosomal RNA
Source: RNAcentral
GUGAGGAAUAUUGCGCAAUGGGGGAAACCCUGACGCAGCGACGCCGCGUGAGUGAGGAAGGCCUUCGGGUCGUAAAGCUCUGUCAAAGGGAAAGAAGUGCAUGAUGGCUAAUACCUGUCAUGUUUGACGGUACCCUUAAAGGAAGCACCGGCUAACUCCGUGCCAGCAGCCGCGGUAAUACGGAGGGUGCAAGCGUUGUUCGGAAUCACUGGGCGUAAAGGGCGCGUAGGCGGUUUGAUAAGUCAGAUGUGAAAGCCCACGGCUUAACUGUGGAAGUGCAUUUGAAACUGUCAGACUUGAGUAUCAGAGGGGAAAGUGGAAUUCCCGGUGUAGAGGUGAAAUUCGUAGAUAUCGGGAGGAAUACCGGUGGCGAAGGCGACUUUCUGGCUGAAUACUGACGCUGAGGCGCGAAAGCGUGGGGAGCAAACAGGAUUAGAUACCCCUGUAGUCC